Molecule: ribosomal RNA, 801 nt
Filed under: Flavobacterium sp. B226
Lineage: Bacteria; Pseudomonadati; Bacteroidota; Flavobacteriia; Flavobacteriales; Flavobacteriaceae
Description: partial 16S ribosomal RNA
Source: RNAcentral
CUUAUCACUUUCGCUUAGCCACUGAGAUUGCUCCCAACAGCUAGUAUCCAUCGUUUACGGCGUGGACUACCAGGGUAUCUAAUCCUGUUCGCUACCCACGCUUUCGUCCAUCAGCGUCAAUCCAUUAGUAGUAACCUGCCUUCGCAAUUGGUAUUCCAUGUAAUCUCUAAGCAUUUCACCGCUACACUACAUAUUCUAGUUACUUCCUAAUAAUUCAAGUUUAACAGUAUCAAUGGCCGUUCCACCGUUGAGCGAUGGGCUUUCACCACUGACUUAUUAAACCGCCUACGGACCCUUUAAACCCAAUGAUUCCGGAUAACGCUUGGAUCCUCCGUAUUACCGCGGCUGCUGGCACGGAGUUAGCCGAUCCUUAUUCUUACGAUACCGUCAAGCUGCUUCACGAAGCAGUGUUUCUUCUCGUAUAAAAGCAGUUUACAAUCCAUAGGACCGUCAUCCUGCACGCGGCAUGGCUGGAUCAGGCUUGCGCCCAUUGUCCAAUAUUCCUCACUGCUGCCUCCCGUAGGAGUCUGGUCCGUGUCUCAGUACCAGUGUGGGGGAUCUCCCUCUCAGGACCCCUACCCAUCGUAGCCUUGGUAAGCCGUUACCUUACCAACUAGCUAAUGGGACGCAUGCUCAUCUUUUACCGUUGUGACUUUAAUAGUAGAAUCAUGCGAUUCAGCUAUACUAUGAGGUAUUAAUCCAAAUUUCUCUGGGCUAUCCCUCUGUAAAAGGUAGAUUGCAUACGCGUUACGCACCCGUGCGCCGGUCUCUGCUUCCGAAGAAGCAUACCCCUCGACUUGC